RNAcentral lists this unclassified non-coding RNA (378 nucleotides) under plant metagenome. RNAcentral describes it as "partial contains 5.8S ribosomal RNA, internal transcribed spacer 2, and large subunit ribosomal RNA". The stretch from base 1 to 105 matches the Rfam family "5.8S ribosomal RNA", at positions 50 to 154 of the family's 154-position model. The record is from RNAcentral.
GAAAUGCGAUAAGUAAUGUGAAUUGCAGAAUUCAGUGAAUCAUCGAAUCUUUGAACGCACCUUGCGCUCCUUGGUAUUCCUUGGAGCAUGCCUGUUUGAGUAUCUUGAAAUCUUCAAAGUAAAUCUUUUGUUAACUCAAUUGGUUUCUACUUUGGUAUUGGAGGUCUUUGCAGCUUCACACCUGCUCCUCUUUGUUCAUUAGCUGGAUCUCAGUGUUAUGCUUGGUUCCACUCGGCGUGAUAAGUUAUCUAUCGCUGAGGACACUGUAAAAGGUGGCCAAGGUAAAUGCAGAUGAACCGCUUCUAAUAGUCCAUUGACUUGGACAAUACUUUUAUGAUCUGAUCUCAAAUCAGGUAGGACUACCCGCUGAACUUAAGC